UACGUAGGGUGCGAGCGUUGUCCGGAAUUAUUGGGCGUAAAGAGCUUGUAGGCGGUCUGUCGCGUCGGGAGUGAAAUCCACUGGCUUAACUGGUGGCUUGCUUUCGAUACGGGCAGACUGGAGGUAUGCAGGGGAGAACGGAAUUCCUGGUGUAGCGGUGAAAUGCGCAGAUAUCAGGAGGAACACCGGUGGCGAAGGCGGGUCUCUGGGACGGUACUGACGCUGAGACGCGAAAGCGUGGGGAGCGAACAGG
This 253-nucleotide ribosomal RNA is filed under the name uncultured bacterium. Its description in RNAcentral is "partial 16S ribosomal RNA". It matches the Rfam family "Bacterial small subunit ribosomal RNA", at positions 524 to 776 of the family's 1533-position model. The record is from RNAcentral.